GACGAACGCUGGCGGCGUGCUUAACACAUGCAAGUCGAGCGGUAAGGCCCUUUCGGGGGUACACGAGCGGCGAACGGGUGAGUAACACGUGGGUGACCUGCCCUCAGCUCUGGGAUAAGCCUGGGAAACCGGGUCUAGUACCGGAUAUGACUCCAUGACGCAUGUUGUGGGGUGGAAAGCCUUGUGCGGCUGAGGAUGGGCCCGCGGCCUAUCAGCUUGUUGGUGGGGUGAUGGCCUACCAAGGCGACGACGGGUAGCCGGCCUGAGAGGGCGACCGGCCACACUGGGACUGAGACACGGCCCAGACUCCUACGGGAGGCAGCAGUGGGGAAUCUUGCGCAAUGGGCGAAAGCCUGACGCAGCGACGCCGCGUGAGGGAUGACGGCCUCGG
Molecule: ribosomal RNA, 391 nt
Filed under: uncultured bacterium
Lineage: Bacteria
Description: bacterial SSU rRNA
Rfam family: Bacterial small subunit ribosomal RNA
Source: RNAcentral